Molecule: non-coding RNA, 87 nt
Organism: Sporormia fimetaria CBS 119925
Lineage: Eukaryota; Fungi; Ascomycota; Dothideomycetes; Pleosporales; Sporormiaceae
Source: the annotation of a GenBank genome assembly
CUCCGCUUGGUGUAGUUGGUUUAUCACGUUCGACUGUAAUAUCUAUCUGCUAUCGAAAGGUCCCUAGUUCGAUUCUGGGAGCGGAGA